CAGCCGCCGCGGGAAUACAGAGGGUGCGAGCGUUAAUCGGAUUUACUGGGCGUAAAGCGUGCGUAGGCGGCUUCUUAAGUCGGAUGUGAAAUCCCUGAGCUUAACUUAGGAAUUGCAUUCGAUACUGGGAAGCUAGAGUAUGGGAGAGGAUGGUAGAAUUCCAGGUGUAGCGGUGAAAUGCGUAGAGAUCUGGAGGAAUACCGAUGGCGAAGGCAGCCAUCUGGCCUAAUACUGACGCUGAGGUACGAAAGCAUGGAGCAAACAGGAUUAGAUACCCCGGUAGUCCCUGUCUCUUAUACAC
Molecule: ribosomal RNA, 301 nt
Filed under: uncultured bacterium
Lineage: Bacteria
Description: partial 16S ribosomal RNA
Rfam family: Bacterial small subunit ribosomal RNA
Source: RNAcentral